Molecule: small nuclear RNA, 107 nt
Organism: Lagenorhynchus albirostris (white-beaked dolphin)
Lineage: Eukaryota; Metazoa; Chordata; Mammalia; Artiodactyla; Delphinidae
Source: RefSeq, a predicted model, not a curated record
GUGCUUGCUUCGGCAGCACAUAUCCUAAAACUGAAUGAUACAGAGAAGAUUAGCACAGCCCCUGCGCAAGGAAUAAUGAAGGGAAUCGAGAAUAGCUAUUGCUUAUA